Sinocyclocheilus grahami is the source of this 361-nucleotide long non-coding RNA. RefSeq lists it as uncharacterized. The transcript has 3 exons. Lineage: Eukaryota; Metazoa; Chordata; Actinopteri; Cypriniformes; Cyprinidae. The record is from RefSeq and is a predicted model, not a curated record.
GUAAUGCAUUGCUCAAACCAAAAGAGACCUUUCCAGAACCUGAGGCUAAGAAGGGUUGUAACAGAGGCCGUAUAAAAACGUUCCUUUCAGCCAAGUCCUCCUUAUUCUGAAGCUGAGAGUGAGAUAAAGGUGUGGUUGCGAAAUUCAAGAGACAGAGUGGGUGGACGAAAGAAGCGCUACCGCCGUCUGCUGACUAGUUGAGAGACCUUGGGGGAAGACAAACUGACUGCUGGGGGCACCCCUCCCAGCCAGGUGCACCAGGUGAAGCUGAUCUACUAAUUGGCAGAGCAAAAACAGAGUCAAUGUAGAGAAGCAGCAAACUUGCUAUUACUUGGACUGAAGCAAACUCUUUUGUGCAGAA